RNAcentral lists this ribosomal RNA (247 nucleotides) under uncultured bacterium. RNAcentral describes it as "partial 16S ribosomal RNA". It matches the Rfam family "Bacterial small subunit ribosomal RNA", at positions 523 to 769 of the family's 1533-position model. The record is from RNAcentral.
AUACGUAGGGUGCGAGCGUUAAUCGGAAUUACUGGGCGUAAAGCGUGCGCAGGCGGUUCGUUAAGUCUGAUGUGAAAGCCCCGGGCUCAACCUGGGAAUGGCAUUGGAAACUGGCGGGCUGGAGUGUGGCAGAGGGGGGUGGAAUUCCACGUGUAGCAGUGAAAUGCGUAGAGAUGUGGAGGAACACCGAUGGCGAAGACAACCCCCUGGGCCAACACUGACGCUCAGGCACGAAAGCGUGGGGAGC